CCUACGGGAGGCUGCAGUAGGGAAUAUUCCACAAUGGGGGAAACCCUGAUGCAGCAACGCCGCGUGGAGGAUGAAGGUUUUAGGAUUGUAAACUCCUUUUGUUAGAGAAGAUUAUGACGGUAUCUAACGAAUAAGCACCGGCUAACUCCGUGCCAGCAGCCGCGGUAAUACGGAGGGUGCAAGCGUUACUCGGAAUCACUGGGAGUAAAGAGUUCGGGGGCGGGGUUAUAAGGCAGAUGUGAAAUCCUGUAGCUUAAAUACAGAACUGCAUUGGAUACUGUUAAUCUGGAGUGUGGGAGAGGUAGGUGGAAUUCUUGGUGUAGGGGUAAAAUCCGUAGAGAUCAAGAGGAAUACUCAUUGCGAAGGCGACCUGCUGGAACAUUACUGACGCUGAUGCACGAAAGCGUGGGGAGCAAACAGGAUUAGAUACCCGAGUAGUC
RNAcentral lists this ribosomal RNA (440 nucleotides) under uncultured bacterium. Its description in RNAcentral is "partial 16S ribosomal RNA". It matches the Rfam family "Bacterial small subunit ribosomal RNA", at positions 338 to 795 of the family's 1533-position model. The record is from RNAcentral.